Molecule: ribosomal RNA, 331 nt
Filed under: uncultured bacterium
Lineage: Bacteria
Description: bacterial SSU rRNA
Rfam family: Bacterial small subunit ribosomal RNA
Source: RNAcentral
CGCGUAGGUGGUAGUGCAAGUCUGAGGUGGAAUCCUAUGGCUUAACCAUAGAACUGCCUUGGAAACUGCAUUACUUGAGUCAGUGAGGGGAGGGUAGAAUUCCUGGUGUAGCGGUGAAAUGCGUAGAUAUCAGGAGGAAGGCCGGUGGCGAAGGCGGCCCUCUGGCGCUGAACUGACACUGAGGCGCGAAAGCGUGGGGAGCAAACAGGAUUAGAUACCCUGGUAGUCCACGCCCUAAACGGUGGGUACUAGGUGUAGGGCUCGUAAGGGUUCUGUGCCGAAGCGAAAGCAUUAAGUACCCCCGCCUGGGGAGUACGGCCGCAAGGUUGAA